RNAcentral lists this ribosomal RNA (350 nucleotides) under Cyclestheria hislopi. Its description in RNAcentral is "partial 16S ribosomal RNA". It matches the Rfam family "Bacterial large subunit ribosomal RNA", at positions 1919 to 2597 of the family's 2925-position model. The record is from RNAcentral. Lineage: Eukaryota; Metazoa; Arthropoda; Branchiopoda; Diplostraca; Cyclestheriidae.
ACCUGCUAGCCGCGGUAUUUUGACCGUGCUAAGGUAGCAUAAUCAUUAGUCUUUUAAUUAAAGGCUUGUAUGAAUGGUUGGACGAGAAAAUUUCUGUCUUUGAAGUUUACUUUUAAGUGAAAAGGCUUAAAUGUGUUUAAAGGACGAUCAGACCCUAUAGAGCUUUUUUAUUGGGGCGAUAAGUAUUGAUCCUUGUUGAAGGAUUAAGAGUUUAAGUUACCUUAGGGAUAACAGCGUAAUCUUUUUGGAGAGUUCUUAUCGAUAAAAAGGUUUGCGACCUCGAUGUUGGAUUAAGAGAUUGACAGGGUGCAGUAGCUCUGUAAAAAAGUCUGUUCGACUUUUAAAAUCUU